GAAUUUUGGACAAUGGGCGAAAGCCUGAUCCAGCAAUGCCGCGUGCAGGAGGAAGGCUUUCGGGUUGUAAACUGCUUUUGUUCGGAAGGAAAAGCUUUGGGUUAUUACCCUGGAGUCAGGACCGUCACGUAAGAAUAAGCACCAGCUAACUACGUGCACACAGCAGCGGUAAUACGUAGGGUGCAAGCGUUAAUCGGAAAUACUGGGCGUAAAGCGUGCGCAGGCGGUUUUGUAAGACAGAGGUGACAUCCCCGGGCUCAACCUGGGAACUGCCUUUGUGACUGCAAGGCUAGAGUGCGGCAGAGGGGGGUGGAAUUCCGCGUGUAGCAGUGAAAUGCGUAGAUAUGCGGAGGAACACCGAUGGCGAAGGCAACCCCCUGGGCCUGUACUGACGCUCAUGCACGAAAGCGUGGGGAGCAAACA
This 423-nucleotide ribosomal RNA is filed under the name uncultured bacterium. RNAcentral's name for it is "partial 16S ribosomal RNA". It matches the Rfam family "Bacterial small subunit ribosomal RNA", at positions 359 to 774 of the family's 1533-position model. The record is from RNAcentral.